UACGUAGGGGGCAAGCGUUGUCCGGAUUUAUUGGGCGUAAAGAGCGUGUAGGCGGCCUGACAGGUCUGCUGUGAAACUCGAGGCUCAACCUCGAGAUGUCGGCGGAAACCGUCUGGCUAGAGUCCGGAAGAGGAGAGUGGAAUUCCUGGUGUAGCGGUGAAUGCGCAGAUAUCAGGAAGAACACCUAUGGCGAAGGCAGCUCUCUGGGACGGUACUGACGCUGAGACGCGAAAGCGUGGGGAGGCGAACAGG
This 252-nucleotide ribosomal RNA is filed under the name uncultured bacterium. Its description in RNAcentral is "partial 16S ribosomal RNA". It matches the Rfam family "Bacterial small subunit ribosomal RNA", at positions 524 to 776 of the family's 1533-position model. The record is from RNAcentral.